GUCGAGUGCAGUGGCGUGUGCCUGUAGUCCCAGUGACUCGGGAGGCUGAGGUGGGACGAUCGCUUGAGCCCAGGAGUUCUGGACUGUAGUGCGCUAUGCCAAUCGGGUGUCCACAGUAAGUUUGGCAUCAAUAUGGUGACCUCCUGGGAGCAGGGGACCACCAGGUUGCCUAAGGAGGGGUGAACUGUCCCAGGUCGGAAACAGAGCAGGUCAAAACUCCCGUGCUGAUCAGUGGUGGGAUCGCGCCUGUGAAUAGCCACUGCACUCCAGCCUGGGCAACAUAGCGAGACUCCGUCUCU
RNAcentral lists this signal recognition particle RNA (299 nucleotides) under Aotus nancymaae (Ma's night monkey). Its description in RNAcentral is "Metazoan signal recognition particle RNA (ENSANAG00000001966.1)". It matches the Rfam family "Metazoan signal recognition particle RNA". From Rfam's summary of the family: The signal recognition particle (SRP) is a universally conserved ribonucleoprotein. It is involved in the co-translational targeting of proteins to membranes. Lineage: Eukaryota; Metazoa; Chordata; Mammalia; Primates; Aotidae. The record is from RNAcentral.